GAUGAACGCUGGCGGCGUGCCUAAUACAUGCAAGUCGAGCGAACAGACGAGUAGCUUGCUCCUCUGACGUUAGCGGCGGACGGGUGAGUAACACGUGGAUAACCUACCUAUAAGACUGGGAUAACUUCGGGAAACCGGAGCUAAUACCGGAUAAUAUAUUGAACCGCAUGGUUCAAUAGUGAAAGACGGUUUUGCUGUCACUUAUAGAUGGAUCCGCGCCGCAUUAGCUAGUUGGUAAGGUAACGGCUUACCAAGGCAACGAUGCGUAGCCGACCUGAGAGGGUGAUCGGCCACACGGGAACUGAGACACGGUCCAGACUCCUACGGGAGGCAGCAGUAGGGAAUCUUCCGCAAUGGGCGAAAGCCUGACGGAGCAACGCCGCGUGAGUGAUGAAGGUCUUCGGAUCGUAAAACUCUGUUAUUAGGGAAGAACAAAUGUGUAAGUAACUAUGCACGUCUUGACGGUACCUAAUCAGAAAGCCACGGCUAACUACGUG
RNAcentral lists this ribosomal RNA (497 nucleotides) under uncultured bacterium. RNAcentral describes it as "partial 16S ribosomal RNA". It matches the Rfam family "Bacterial small subunit ribosomal RNA", at positions 28 to 507 of the family's 1533-position model. The record is from RNAcentral.